UGAGUCGGCCGGGCGGCCGCGGCGUCCACCGCGAGGUGUGGCGUCGAGGAAAGUCCGGACUCCGUAGAGCGACGGUGGUGGCCAACAGCCACCCACGGCGACGUGCGGGACAGUGCCACAGAAAACAAACCGCCAGCGGCCUUCGGCCGACCGGCAGCGAGCUUGUCUCGCCGACGGAGAAGUCGAAGGUGCGGGUAAGGGUGAAACGGUGAGGUAAGAGCUCACCAGCGUUCCGGGUGACCGGAGCGGCUAGGUAAACCCCACCGGGAGCAAGACCAAGAGGACCUUCGGGUCUGCGCUGACGGGCUGCUCGUCCAAUGUCAGCGGGUAGGUCGCACGAGGCGUCCAGCAAUGGGCGUCCCAGAUGGAUGGUCGCCCGGGCUUCGGCCCGACAGGAUCCGGCUUACAGGCCGGCUCAUUCG
This 422-nucleotide RNase P RNA is filed under the name Aeromicrobium sp. A1-2. Its description in RNAcentral is "Bacterial RNase P class A". It matches the Rfam family "Bacterial RNase P class A". From Rfam's summary of the family: Ribonuclease P (RNase P) is a ubiquitous endoribonuclease, found in archaea, bacteria and eukarya as well as chloroplasts and mitochondria. Its best characterised activity is the generation of mature 5'-ends of tRNAs by cleaving the 5'-leader elements of precursor-tRNAs. The record is from Rfam by way of RNAcentral. Lineage: Bacteria; Bacillati; Actinomycetota; Actinomycetes; Propionibacteriales; Nocardioidaceae.